RNAcentral lists this long non-coding RNA (256 nucleotides) under Olea europaea (common olive). RNAcentral's name for it is "long non-coding RNA (OEUR_LNC010140)". Lineage: Eukaryota; Viridiplantae; Streptophyta; Magnoliopsida; Lamiales; Oleaceae. The record is from RNAcentral.
CUCAGCCAUCAUACUCGUGGCUGGAAAAGGUGAAUAACGAUAUAAAAAUCAGUUCCCCCCUUAAAAUCACCUCCAAACAGCCACUAAGAUUACGCAGAUUAAGUAAGAAAAAACCUUAAUCCGGUGAGUUGGGGAGUCUAGACAUGAAACGGUCAGGCUUUGGCACCGAAGCGAGGAUGGAAAAUUGGUUAUUCGUAGACUCAUAGAGGCAGCGACGAUUUCAGGCGCAGAGGCUGUAAAUUGUAGCAUCGAGAGG